Non-coding RNA from Pelobates cultripes (western spadefoot toad), 255 nucleotides. NCBI's taxonomy places the organism in Eukaryota, Metazoa, Chordata, Amphibia, Anura, Pelobatidae. The record is from the annotation of a GenBank genome assembly.
UGUUGACAUUAUAGUUGUGCAGGAACUUUGUUGACUCUAGAGAACCUCGGACAAAUCGCACAUCCCCACAGCGGCGACUUUCCAUGCGGAUGUCAUCCAUAUCAACUUUUAAAUGCCAGUUUCUGCGCCUACCAUGGUGACCACGGGUAACGGGGAAUCAUUCCGAGCAGGGACCCUGAGAAACGGCUACCACAUGCAAAGAAGGCAGCAGGCGUGCAAAUGACCCACUCCUGACGCGGGAAGGUAGUGACGACA